CGCCAUGCGUGUGAUCAUAAGAUCCCACUCAUGCCCGGCGCUCAACCUGUUAAUAUUCGACCGUAUCGGCACAAACCUGAGCACAAGUCAGAGAUUGAGCGUCAGGUAGAAGAGCUACUGCAGUUCGGGAUCAUUCAACGCAGCAGUAGCAGUUUCGCCUCGCCCACUAUUCUGGUUAAAAAGAAAGAUGGAACAUGGCGUCUCUGCAUUGACUAUAGGCAUCUCAACGCCAUGACAUGCGUCAGCAAGUUCCCUGUCCCGAUCAUUGAAGAAUUGUUGGAUGAACUGCAUGGCGCAGCAUGGUUCACUAAGCUUGACCUGCGGUCUGGCUAUCAUCAGAUACGGCUAGCGGAAGGGGAGGAAUUCAAAACAGCAUUUCAAACCCACACAGGGCAUUAUGAGUUCAAAGUGUUGUCAUUUGGAUUGGCGGGUGGACCAUCAACCUUCUUGGGCGCAAUG
This 459-nucleotide ribosomal RNA is filed under the name Triticum aestivum (bread wheat). RNAcentral describes it as "partial small subunit ribosomal RNA". The record is from RNAcentral. Lineage: Eukaryota; Viridiplantae; Streptophyta; Magnoliopsida; Poales; Poaceae.